GACGAACGCUGGCGGCGUGCUUAACACAUGCAAGUCGAGCGGUAAGGCCUUUCGGGGGUACACGAGCGGCGAACGGGCGAGUAACACGUGGGUGACCUGCCCUCAGCUCUGGGAUAAGCCUGGGAAACUGGGUCUAAUACCGGAUAUGACUCCAUGACGCAUGUUGUGGGGUGGAAAGCCUUGUGCGGCUGAGGAUGGGCCCGCGGCCUAUCAGCUUGUUGGUGGGGUGAUGGCCUACCAAGGCGACGACGGGUAGCCGGCCUGAGAGGGCGACCGGCCACACUGGGACUGAGACACGGCCCAGACUCCUACGGGAGGCAGCAGUAAGGAAUAUUCCACAAUGGGGGAAACCCUGAUGGAGCGACGCCGCGUGCGCG
This 377-nucleotide ribosomal RNA is filed under the name uncultured bacterium. RNAcentral's name for it is "bacterial SSU rRNA". It matches the Rfam family "Bacterial small subunit ribosomal RNA", at positions 28 to 407 of the family's 1533-position model. The record is from RNAcentral.